Molecule: long non-coding RNA, 1077 nt
Filed under: Lactuca sativa (garden lettuce)
Lineage: Eukaryota; Viridiplantae; Streptophyta; Magnoliopsida; Asterales; Asteraceae
Description: long non-coding RNA (LSAT_LNC007319)
Source: RNAcentral
CGCAUCGAUAUCUAACUGACAAACAUGCCUUCAGCUUACUUUAUACAAAAUAGUAUUUCUAUCUCAAUCAAACAAAAAACAUAUUGAAUCUGAGUUCAAAACAAUUUAAAUAAUAAGGACUUUUUUUAGUCUUUGGAUCUGAAAAACUGUAUCAUAUACCAGAUCCAAAAGCUUAUCUCUCUGCCUUAGAAGCUUAUCUCUCUACCUUACUCACCCCUUCAUCUUCACUUUCCUCUUUUUCUCAGAUCGAAAAAGGAGAUUAUAGAUACAAACUCAGAUAUGCAAUGGUUAUGAGUGUGUGAGAUAGCACACAAAAAGAGAGAGAAAGGGUGAGCGACGAAGGUUGUGACUGGAUAAUAGAUUACAAACCUUUUUCCUCCACUUACUUGGCAUUUCCUUUUCCUGCUUGAUGGGUUGACUGUUGGUUUACUUGUUGAAAAUAGUUACAUGUUAUUUAUGUAACAAAAUCAAUAGCAAACAAUAAAAACAUGACAUUUUAUUAAUAAUAGAAUAGAUUUCAUUAUGACAUUUCAUCAAACACUUAAUAGACAACUAAAAUCACAUAUUUUUUCUCUAGGAAAGAAGUUUGUUCAAAAGAACCUAAAUUUUUUGGAGGGAAAUAAUCAAAUAAGCUUGUGCAAAAGAACCUAAAUGGAAUGUAUAAAUCGAUAAACAAGAAAAAUUGGAAAAUAUAACCAGAUAAGCAAUACAUUACUUUUAGGUUGAUAUACGCAACCCAUUUCAGAAAUAAGAGGCAUAAUCAGACUCAAAAUCAUUAAUGGAAACUUAAAUCUGUAUCUAUGGAAUAACUAAGAAAAUGGAAAAAGAAAAGCAAUAAAUUACCUUUAGGCUGAUAUCGACAUUAUCCAUUUCAGAAACCAAAAAUCAGAGGUGUUUUCAAAAUCAAAAAUUGAGAGGCGUAUUCUCCCUAUCGUUUUGACAAUUGCUUCUUGAGAACAAGAAGUGAUUUAGGAGGUGGGAAGAGAACUGGGAGAUUUAAGAGGCUGUGAGGAUCUUUUCCUUUUUUCCCGCUUACGAGCAGCAGACGCGCAAAAAAAAAUGUGAACUGACUGAAAA